This is a non-coding RNA of Schistosoma haematobium, 45 nucleotides long. Lineage: Eukaryota; Metazoa; Platyhelminthes; Trematoda; Strigeidida; Schistosomatidae. The record is from Rfam.
AUCCAGCUGACGAGUCCCAAAUAGAACGAAACUCAUGUCUUGCAU